GGGCAUGUAGCUCAGCUGGUUAGAGCACUCCGACGUACGUCGGAGGGGUCCAGGUUCGAAUCCUGGUUUGUCAA
Molecule: non-coding RNA, 74 nt
Organism: Candidatus Shapirobacteria bacterium CG2_30_35_20
Lineage: Bacteria; Candidatus Shapironibacteriota
Source: Rfam